UUUUUUUUGGGAAAAAACCUCGGCUUAUACACGAGUAUAUACGGUACUUCAGUCCAUCUUUGAAUAUCAUUAAAUUUCUUUAUGGGGAAAAUUUCUCAAUAAUUGGCCAAUUACGUUAUGCCGGAUAUAUUUCAAUAGUUCAUAAGAACAUCAUGAUAGAUUUACUCAUUUUAUCUGGCAACAAAAGAGAAGGCUCUCUAUGGUAUGUGUGAUCUGGUGCAUGUAUCACAUUUCUGUGCGCUGUGUUGUCGCAUCCAUUCUUUUGUGGCUUUACCUAUAUUUUCCUAUAAUUUGCUAAAUGUUUAUAUUAUAUAUAGCAUUAUUGAAUUACAUGGCGCCACCUAUUAUUUAAAAUGCAUUCAUUUUAAGUAGAAUCUUGAUUUGAUUUGUUCUAUAUUUCCACUGAUGAAAUUUUGCCUGUGUGUGCACUGCACUUUGUCAUGUGACUGUAUUGUCUUGGCGAGAUUGGGACAUAAAUUUGACCAGCUGUAAGCACUGUAUGGGUUCCAACCCCUCUAAAAUAGGUCCUAAUUCCAAAGUGAUUAUAUAAAACUGAAAGGGAAACAUGGAUGAGGGUGACAACCCUUUACAAUGCCUUCCAAAUAACAGUGGCAUUUGACAGACCUGGACCAAGUCCUUGUAUGCCAGUACUGUGUUUUGAUUGCCAUUUAUAUAUAACUGUUCUUUAAUGCUAGGCUCAAUGCAAUGCCAUUCUAUUAUCCCUUUUCCAUGCCACUAGAAUUAUUCACUUAAGCUGAUGCUACGAAAAAUUCAGCAGACUAGUAAAAUAUGCUUUGCUGGAGCAUGAAAAAGGAGAAUGUGAUAGUCGACCACUGAAAUGUUGAAGACAAGCCAGUCUACAACAAUGUUCAGUGGCCAACAUCAACCAUUGACAUACAUCCAUUUUAGAUUUGCUCCUGCUCCACUGAACUUGUUGCUAGGCUGGAAUGUUUUGCUGACCCAAUCAUAUUCCAUGCUUCAUUUAGCCAACAAUUACAUAUUCGAGUUGUUUCCGGCCUUUCCAGAUACUGAUGCCAGCAUGUCCUGCGAUACCCAUCCGAUGUGUUCCAUAUGCUCUUUGUCAAACUGAUAUCCUGGACUGAGCAAUGCUGACUGUACGACAUUCUUGAUAAAGCUACCAUAUAAUUUAUUUGGGGCUGCAUUUAUUGCCCUGUUGAAAUGCUGGGAAGAAAACUUCAAGUGAAUCUCUCACCAGAUUGAUCUGUUGACUGACCCAACUGACAAUGAUCUUAUAUAUUUGUUACAUCUUGAUCUUAUAUAUUUGUGAUUUCUUUUUCUAGUCUAAGGACUUGAGAUCAAAUUAGGAUCCACUCCUUCGAAAAUUUCUUAUAUGUUAGGCCAAUUGAUUUUGGUUUGUUUAACAUUGCAAUUUCCAGGAACAUAAUUAAAUGAGGACCUGCUGCAACUUACAACUGCAUGCAUACGAAUUCAUACACAUUGAUCUAAUAUAGUACUAGAUGUAAAUAUUUUGUCAUCUGAGAGAACAUUAGAAAAUGACAUCCUCUCUCUUUUUCACUCACACACAUUAAUACAUACACGGUGCAUCAGCUAAAUCCAGAUAAAAUAGACAAUUUUAUUUAACAAAAAGAAUAGAAUUAUCGAAAUUAUCAUUUGCAUAUUAAUUUGAGAUUCCUUUAGAUUAAAAUUA
This 1669-nucleotide long non-coding RNA is filed under the name Androctonus crassicauda. Lineage: Eukaryota; Metazoa; Arthropoda; Arachnida; Scorpiones; Buthidae. The record is from RNAcentral.